Long non-coding RNA from Anguilla rostrata (American eel), 416 nucleotides. RefSeq lists it as uncharacterized. NCBI's taxonomy places the organism in Eukaryota, Metazoa, Chordata, Actinopteri, Anguilliformes, Anguillidae. The transcript is spliced from 3 exons. The record is from RefSeq and is a predicted model, not a curated record.
UGGAAGCAGUUUAUGAAUGGCACCGUGACGGCGCGUGGGCCGGCAUUCACGCGCAGGUGCGCUUGCACAGCUGCGGACGAGAACGCCAGAAGAAACAAUUAUUUUUGGUGUUCUAACUUUUGUUGAACUUCGUGUGUUUGAUGCGUACGUCGAAAUCUUAUUUGUUUGGAAAACGACUACUUACAAACAACCGUACAGCCGUGUUGGAUUAUAUAGCUACACCCUGGAUAAGAUCUUCAAUCAACUCAAAUCAUCAAUAAAUGGAAGACUUGGCGGUAAGCGUUUCUUUGACGUUACCGGGUGCUCAGACUAGAGACAGGAGCUCCAGCUGUGUGACUCUAGAAGGCGGCGGUACUGAGGUAGCCCAUCUCCCGCAGGCAGCCGUCGUGGAAGACCCGCCUGCACGUCCGGCAGGG